RNAcentral lists this long non-coding RNA (1421 nucleotides) under Prunus persica (peach). RNAcentral describes it as "long non-coding RNA (PPER_LNC005832)". Lineage: Eukaryota; Viridiplantae; Streptophyta; Magnoliopsida; Rosales; Rosaceae. The record is from RNAcentral.
UGUAUAGAACACGAAUGUAUUAUUAAAAAAUACGUAUACAUGUAUAAUUGAGUAUUAAACGUGAAAGAGCUAAAUUCUUUAUACGAGUAAUAACUCUGAAAAAGUAAAAAAUUAAAAUGGACAAUAGAGACUCGGGUAAUGGCCUAAUAGUAAUGGAUAAUUACUCUUAUUGAUAAACGAAAAUCGGGAAAAAAAUUAAAAGAAAAAAAGGAUCCCAAUAUAUAUAUAAAGGACUAUAGUCACUCGUCUAUACUAUUUAUUAACAACAAAUUUUUUUUUAUAAAAAAACAGUAACGCCGCCCAGCUAUACUAUAUUUUUUUUAAACAUUUGAAAAACUCUAGUAUAGCCGCACGACUAUACGAUUUAUAUAUAAAAAAAAGUGAACAGAUGCACAACCCUUUUCCGCCCACUUGUAAAAUAGUGUCAAAACUAGUCUAUUUUUAAAAUAAAAAAUAAAAAAAACAUGGAGUAUAGUCAAGCAGUUGUACAAUGUUUUUUUAUAAAAAAAAAAAAAAAAAAGGACCCUCUAGCGCCACGUGUCAAAAAUAAACGCCACGUGUCAAAAAUUAGUUUUUUUAUAUUUUUUAUUUUUUAAAUCGUAGUAUAGCCUCCCAGCUAUACUAUUUAAAUGCAUUCACGCCUGCUACACCCAACUUACAAAGUUUCGUAAAUAUUUUUUUGCAGUUGUAUUUAAAUAGAUGUCCGUUUCAACAAUUUCAUAUUUUAAUUUUCACGCGUGUGAUAGAUUGUCGUCUUAAAAGUUUUCCUUUAUCGCCCAUAUUUUUCUAAAGGCCCAUCUUAGCAGUUUUUUUUUUUUUUUUUUCUUUUGGUCAUUUAUAGCAUGUAAACUACUAAGAUGGAUGUUUAGAAAAAUAAGGGCAAUAAAGGAAAACUUUUAAGAUGACAAUUUAGCACACGCGCUUGAUUAAAAUAUGAAACUGUUGAAACAGACAUCUAUAUAAAUAGAUUGCGAAAAAUUAUUUACGAAACUUUGUAAGUUGCGCGUGUGAUUAAAAAAAAGCAUCUCGCACGCGUAGAAGCGCGUGCAGGGAGGCGUCUAAUGAACUUUAGGAGCUAGGGGGAUUCUUAUUCAAUUAAUUACCCACAUAUUAAUAUUAUCCAAAGCAAAUCCAACAUGAAUUGGAAAAUCUCAAAUAAUUUAAGUAAAAUAAUAUUUUCAUUUCACACAACGUCGUAGUUUUAGAUUAUGUACAUAUGUAUAUAUUAACAUAAUAUGCACAUAAGAGAAAGACAUGCAACGAUCAAGACCACUUGCGCCACCCAUUCAUCUCUAAUUGAUCUUUCACUUUUUCAUUGUCAAUCUAUACAUAAAUAACAUAAGAUGAGACCAAACUUAAACAUAUAUACUUUUUAAAUUUGUAUUAAACAAAUUUUUGCAUAAUUUGGGAACAUGUCUACU